Molecule: ribosomal RNA, 433 nt
Filed under: uncultured bacterium
Lineage: Bacteria
Description: partial 16S ribosomal RNA
Rfam family: Bacterial small subunit ribosomal RNA
Source: RNAcentral
AGCGAACGCUGGCGGCAGGCUUAACACAUGCAAGUCGAGCGGACCUUUCGGGGUCAGCGGCGGACGGGUGAGUAACGCGUGGGAACGUGCCUUCCGGUUCGGAAUAACCCUGGGAAACUAGGGCUAAUACCGGAUACGCCCUUAGGGGGAAAGGUUUACUGCCGGAAGAUCGGCCCGCGUCUGAUUAGCUAGUUGGUGGGGUAACGGCCUACCAAGGCGACGAUCAGUAGCUGGUCUGAGAGGAUGAUCAGCCACACUGGGACUGAGACACGGCCCAGACUCCUACGGGAGGCAGCAGUGGGGAAUAUUGGACAAUGGGCGCAAGCCUGAUCCAGCCAUGCCGCGUGAGUGAUGAAGGCCUUAGGGUUGUAAAGCUCUUUUAUCCGGGACGAUAAUGACGGUACCGGAGGAAUAAGCCCCGGCUAACUUCGUG